This 314-nucleotide unclassified non-coding RNA is filed under the name Hevea brasiliensis (rubber tree). The record is from RNAcentral. Lineage: Eukaryota; Viridiplantae; Streptophyta; Magnoliopsida; Malpighiales; Euphorbiaceae.
GGGUUCCAUGUCUUCAUACAAUGAGUUCUUGAGCCAUUGGAGACAGUUUUGCGGCUCCAUGCAGUAGAUUCAUUUGCAGGGAACAGUUGCUUUGUUGUGUUGGCUUUUAGGCCGCUGUAACCAGACCCAGCAACCAGAGCUGUAAAGAUCCCGGCGGCCGACAUCUUCUUGAACGAUACCAAGGAAAGAGAGAGGCAGAAGAGUAGAAGGACAACUGAUCUUAGUAGUUUUACUUGAAACUGUGACAGAAAUGGUUCAGGAAAAGGACAAAAGGGGCUGGCUUGGGUGUUUGUGAGAUGCUAAGCUUAGUGGAU